GGCGCGUCGUGCAUCUUGGCCGAUGUUGAGCUGAAAACAAGGAGCGCACGUUUAUUCUAUGCGCACGUCUUUUGUUGUGCGAAGUCUUGUAGUUUCAGUUGCUUCGUAUUUCUGUGCUUAUCUCCGUCCCGCGGAGGUACCGUGCUUGGCGCCGAGACAAUGGUCAACGACGUAGCUUUGUUUGUGUUUUCGCUCUUCGACACGGGAGCUCUGCUAUUCCUUACCGUUUACGUCGUGAUUACACUUUCUGAUUUAGAAUGCGACUACCUCAACGCUCAGCAAUGCUGUUCCAAGCUGAAUGGGUGGGUCCUACCAGAGGUGAUCGCGCAGGCCAUCCUGACCGUUCUGCUGUUUUUCGUCAACUUCCAUUGGAUUUUGUUUGCACUCAAUGUCCCCAUGGUCGUGUGGCAGGUUUACAAGUACCUCUCGGUACCUGACUGCAACUUCGGCGUGUAUGACCCAACGGAGAUCCACAACCGGGGCAACCUCAAGCGGCAUCUGCGAGACUCCAUGAUCCGUCUGGCCUUCUACCUCAUCUUCUUUUUCAUCUAUCUCUACUGUAUGAUCAUCGCCUUGCUGACGUCAAAUCCCGACACAAGGCGGGAGACCUACUAGGAGGUGUGAACCAGAUUUCUUCUCCUUUUCAGUAUCUCCCAAAUACAAAUGGAGCAUCUGUCCCGCGGACCGCGUCAGAGAAGCUCCCAUUUCAAGAGCCAGAGUCAAGGAGAUCUUGCCACAAGCCUGUUUGUGGUUUGUGCACCUGCACAAGAGGGGUUGGCGGCCACUGCCAGGCUCAAGGAAGUCAACGGAACUGGUUGUCUCAACAGUCGGCAAUACUCUCAUGUUGUUUUCAUGCCGAAUUGCAUUUUUUUUUCCCUCUCUCUUAUCGUUUCACUAGGUUUACGGCCCUCUUCAUUUCAAACCAUGCCUGCCCCGUGCCAUCGGAAACGCCUGCUUCAGUGUGGCAGCUCGUGUGCCCUGGUUCUAGAGCUUGACACUUCAGUGAAAUGGCGUGUUCCUUCCUUUGAGACCUCUGAAGUGAAGACACUUUUCAGCUGUCAUGGCAAUUCGGGAGUGUUGGCAUGCCAUUACUGAGAUAUAGUGUCAUAGUGUAAGUAGCGCAUGGGUAAGAAUAAAGAAUAGUUGAAACAGUG
This 1154-nucleotide unclassified non-coding RNA is filed under the name Dermacentor andersoni. RNAcentral's name for it is "protein cornichon homolog 4-like". The record is from RNAcentral. Lineage: Eukaryota; Metazoa; Arthropoda; Arachnida; Ixodida; Ixodidae.